AGAAGAUCGGGGGGUGUUAAAAUACAUGUGAACGCAGAGAAAACAAAGAUUCCAACGGGAGAGCGUGCUUGCGGGCAAAACUUCUGUCGUAAGACAUCAGUUGGGAGAUAGCGCUGGGCACAAAAUAUAUCCGGGAGAGAGCAGCGGGCCCUCUUCUCACCGCCGAUAUUCGCCAUCAUUCGCUCCUCAUUUCAAUUCGUUUUCUUCUUUCUUUUUCUACCACCAUCACGCUUUUUGACUGCGUAAUUUUUGCACGGACUGUGUAAAGUGUACCGCUCGUUUAACAAUCGCAACUUGAACAAUCCGAUUAGUGGACAAAGAAUUAGAUAUUCCAUAGAGCG
Caenorhabditis elegans is the source of this 341-nucleotide non-coding RNA. Lineage: Eukaryota; Metazoa; Nematoda; Chromadorea; Rhabditida; Rhabditidae. The record is from Ensembl.